RNAcentral lists this ribosomal RNA (231 nucleotides) under uncultured Eubacteriales bacterium. Its description in RNAcentral is "uncultured Clostridiales bacterium partial 16S ribosomal RNA". It matches the Rfam family "Bacterial small subunit ribosomal RNA", at positions 103 to 334 of the family's 1533-position model. Lineage: Bacteria; Bacillati; Bacillota; Clostridia; Eubacteriales. The record is from RNAcentral.
CGGGUGAGUAACGCGUGAGUAACCUGCCUUACACAAGGGGAUAGCCGUUGGAAACGACGAAUAAUACCCUAUGAAACUAUCACUUCGCAUGAAGCGAUAGUCAAAGCGUUAGCGGUGUAAGAUGGACUUGCGUCUGAUUAGCUAGUUGGUGAGAAAAAAGCCCACCAAGGCAACGAUCAGUAGCCGGCUUGAGAGAGUGUACGGCCACAUUGGGACUGAGACACGGCCCAG